This 499-nucleotide long non-coding RNA is filed under the name Sarcophilus harrisii (Tasmanian devil). Its description in RNAcentral is "lncRNA (ENSSHAG00000028728.1)". Lineage: Eukaryota; Metazoa; Chordata; Mammalia; Dasyuromorphia; Dasyuridae. The record is from RNAcentral.
UAAUGAGAACUUGAUAGAUAUAGGUUAGCAAAUUGAAUGGCUUAACUUAUUUGGUCAUUUAGCAGCAUAUAAAUGCAGAAUCCAGGAAUGCCCUAAAGGCUCAACUUAGAAGACAUGCUACUGCAUAGUAGAACUGCUUAGAUUGGGGCAGAAGAGGUAAAGCAGGAGAUGGAGUCAUACUGGAUUUGCUGAGGCAGCAUUUGAUACAAAAAAGAACAUCUGCUAAAUCUAAUUGAAAAACUAAAGGUGCUACACAAUUCUUCAACCUAGGAACAUCCAUAAUGGAUCUGUCACCUUAUUACAGUCAUAUGAACUUUGUAAUCAUUUGCUUCUAAAUGUAGCAUUUAAUUGCAAUUGUUAUAAACAUUUCUGAAUGUUCCUGCUACUUAGUAAUGGAGUUAACAAUUUAUUGCAUUAUUAAAAUUUUUAUCCCAAAUGGAAAUUAUACUUUUUUAAAGAAACUGUUUGCAUAAAAGUUUUUAAAACAUGUACUAUGCCA